UUCAUAAACUAUUCAUUUUAUAAAAAAAAUUAACCAAGCCUAGCAAAACUUAUGGGACGAAGUACAGGUAAGAACGUGCACGGGUCAGAAUUAGUGCAAGUCAGAAAACGGUGACGGAUUCAUGAUUUUAUUCUAAUGAGUUCCUUUUGGUAUUUUUUUUUUAAUUCUCAUUAUUUUUUUCUAAAUUCUAUAAGGUUCUCGCUAUUUUUUUUCCAUUUUUUCUAAACGCACUGGGUUCUUAAGAACCCACAAAUGUGGGCUGGAUCCGCCCCUAUCAGAAAGAGCUUUUAACAAAUUGGGUUUGUGUCAAUAUGUAUCAUUUUACAAGAUAUCAUUUUGGUUUGUGUCAAUCGGGUUAUGAUCAGAAUAGACUCGAGUAAACAAUCGACAACAAUGUGAUGGAAUGGUGACGGGUGUGAUGAUGGUGGACAUAGCUAUGGGGCUAAUUGUGACGAUGGGUGUGGUGAUGGUGUCGGUGGUAACGACGUUGGUGGUGAAGUGGCUAUAGGCCCACGGCUAUGGGUUUGUGGUGUGAUGUUGGUGUCGGUGUCGACGACGAUAAGUAUUACCUAAAGCAAUUAUAUUCUUUGGACUCAACAUGACAAGUGGAGAUGAAGGAGGAAAGGGGCCAUGUUAUUUUUAAUGCUUAAUAUAACCUAAUAUAAGAAAAACAAUGUAUUUUAUUUUAUGUUAAAUCGCAAAACUUAA
Molecule: long non-coding RNA, 708 nt
Filed under: Helianthus annuus (common sunflower)
Lineage: Eukaryota; Viridiplantae; Streptophyta; Magnoliopsida; Asterales; Asteraceae
Description: hypothetical non coding rna
Source: RNAcentral